UCUCCGUUGGUGAACCAGCGGAGGGAUCAUUACAGAGUUGAAAAACUCUCAAACCCUUUGUGAACCUACCUUCAUUGUUGCUUCGGCAGGCGGCCCCAGGGUGGGGCUGUAGCCUCUUUGAGGCGCCUGCCGGAGAAGCUAAACCCUAUAACUAUUGUAUAUUCUGAGCAUACAUAAAAUAAGUCAAAACUUUCAGCAACGGAUCUCUUGGUUCUG
Molecule: unclassified non-coding RNA, 216 nt
Filed under: plant metagenome
Description: partial contains small subunit ribosomal RNA, internal transcribed spacer 1, and 5.8S ribosomal RNA
Source: RNAcentral